Molecule: ribosomal RNA, 576 nt
Filed under: uncultured bacterium
Lineage: Bacteria
Description: partial 16S ribosomal RNA
Rfam family: Bacterial small subunit ribosomal RNA
Source: RNAcentral
UGGGGAAUUUUGGACAAUGGGGGCAACCCUGAUCCAGCAAUGCCGCGUGUGUGAAGAAGGCCUUCGGGUUGUAAAGCACUUUUGUCCGGAAAGAAAACGCCGUGGUUAAUACCCGUGGCGGAUGACGGUACCGGAAGAAUAAGCACCGGCUAACUACGUGCCAGCAGCCGCGGUAAUACGUAGGGUGCAAGCGUUAAUCGGAAUUACUGGGCGUAAAGCGUGCGCAGGCGGUCCGCUAAGACAGAUGUGAAAUCCCCGGGCUUAACCUGGGAACUGCAUUUGUGACUGGCGGGCUAGAGUAUGGCAGAGGGGGGUAGAAUUCCACGUGUAGCAGUGAAAUGCGUAGAGAUGUGGAGGAAUACCGAUGGCGAAGGCAGCCCCCCUGGGCCAAUACUGACGCUCAUGCACGAAAAGCGUGGGGGAGCAAACAGGAUUCAGAUACCCUGGUAGUCCACGCCCUAAACGAUGUCAACUAGUGCUGGGGAUUCAUUUUCUGNACGUGCUAACCGUGAAGUGACCGCCUGGGGAGUAACGGUCGCAAGAUUAAAAACUUAAAGGAAUUGNCGGGGUCAUAGC